CCCUCGUCCUGACUUCUCUGGGUCAUUUCAUUCGCACCUCCCUUUCAAGCCAUCUGGGAUCCUGCGGCUGGGCUCUAAUGCGGAACACCUGGCCUGACAGCGCCUGCCGCGGCUCCUCUCACCUGCCAGCCUCCCCGGGACCCAGUGAGCCCUGGGCACGCACAGCAGCAGCCCUUCCAGUGUCAGCCUCUUCCCUGCUCCUCGGAGAUGAAGUCAUGGAAUCCCAGGCCCCAUCACCACGAUCAUAAAUGGAAACGCCUCCUGCGUAGCUGUGAGACGCUCCCAACUCCUAACAGGAGGCGCAUGAUUGGGAAAUAAUGCCAACAACAAAACGUGGUCGGUGAACCAGAGCUUCUUGUUUCC
Molecule: long non-coding RNA, 363 nt
Filed under: Fukomys damarensis (Damara mole-rat)
Lineage: Eukaryota; Metazoa; Chordata; Mammalia; Rodentia; Bathyergidae
Description: lncRNA (ENSFDAG00000026100.1)
Source: RNAcentral